UACGGAGGGUGCAAGCGUUAUCCGGAUUCACUGGGUUUAAAGGGUGCGUAGGCGGGCAGGUAAGUCAGUGGUGAAAUCUCCAAGCUUAACUUGGAAACUGCCGUUGAUACUAUCUGUCUUGAAUGUUGUGGAGGUGAGCGGAAUAUGUCAUGUAGCGGUGAAAUGCUUAGAUAUGGCAUAGAAGACCAAUUGCGAAGGCAGCCCACUACACAAAUAUUGACGCUGAGGCGCGAAAGCGUGGGGAGCAAACAGG
This 253-nucleotide ribosomal RNA is filed under the name uncultured bacterium. RNAcentral's name for it is "partial 16S ribosomal RNA". It matches the Rfam family "Bacterial small subunit ribosomal RNA", at positions 524 to 776 of the family's 1533-position model. The record is from RNAcentral.